Molecule: ribosomal RNA, 870 nt
Filed under: uncultured marine bacterium
Lineage: Bacteria
Description: bacterial SSU rRNA
Rfam family: Bacterial small subunit ribosomal RNA
Source: RNAcentral
AUUGAACGCUGGCGGCAGGCCUAAGACAUGCAAGUCGAGCGAGAAAGCCCUUCGGGGUGAGUACAGCGGCGGACGGGUGAGUAACGCGUAGGAAUCUACCCAGUAGUGGGGGACAACUAGUGGAAACGCUAGCUAAUACCGCAUACGCCCUAAGGGGGAAAGCGGGGGAUCUUCGGACCUCGUGCUAUUGGAUGAGCCUGCGUAAGAUUAGCUUGUUGGUGGGGUAAUGGCUCACCAAGGCGACGAUCUUUAGCUGGUCUGAGAGGAUGAUCAGCCACACCGGGACUGAGACACGGCCCGGACUCCUACGGGAGGCAGCAGUCGGGAAUAUUGCGCAAUGGGGGAAACCCUGACGCAGCCAUGCCGCGUGUGUGAAGAAGGCCCUAGGGUUGUAAAGCACUUUCAAUUGGGAGGAAAAGCUAAUGGUUAAUAGCCAUUAGCCCUGACGUUACCUUUAGAAGAAGCACCGGCUAACUCCGUGCCAGCAGCCGCGGUAAUACGGAGGGUGCAAGCGUUAAUCGGAAUUACUGGGCGUAAAGCGCGCGUAGGCGGCUCUUUAAGUCGGAUGUGAAAGCCCCGGGCUCAACCUGGGAACUGCAUCCGAUACUGGAGGGCUAGAGUGUAGGAGAGGGAGGUAGAAUUCCAUGUGUAGCAGUGAAAUGCGUGGAUAUAUGGAGGAAUACCAGUGGCGAAGGCGGCCUCCUGGCUUAACACUGACGCUGAGGUGCGAAAGCGUGGGGAGCAAACGGGAUUAGAUACCCCGGUAGUCCACGCCGUAAACGAUGUCUACUAGCUGUAGGGGUACUUGAGACCUUUGUAGCGCAGCUAACGCACUAAGUAGACCGCCUGGGGAGUACGGCCGCAAGGUUA